Molecule: ribosomal RNA, 515 nt
Filed under: uncultured bacterium
Lineage: Bacteria
Description: partial 16S ribosomal RNA
Rfam family: Bacterial small subunit ribosomal RNA
Source: RNAcentral
GAUGAAUGCUGGCGGCGUGCCUAAUACAUGCAAGUCGAGCGAAUGGAUUAAGAGCUUGCUCUUAUGAAGUUAGCGGCGGACGGGUGAGUAACACGUGGGAAACCUGCCCAUAAGACUGGGAUAACUCCGGGAAACCGGGGCGAAUACCGGAGAACAUUUUGAACCGCAUGGUUCGAAAUUGAAAGGCGGCUUCGGCUGUCACUUAUGGAUGGACCCGGGUCGCAUUAGCUAGUUGGUGAGGUAACGGCUCACCAAGGCAACGAUGCGUAGCCGACCUGAGAGGGUGAUCGGCCACACUGGGACUGAGACACGGCCCAGACUCCUACGGGAGGCAGCAGUAGGGAAUCUUCCGCAAUGGACGUAAGUCUGACGGAGCAACGCCGCGUGAGUGAUGAAGGCUUUCGGGUCGUAAAACUCUGUUGUUAGGGAAGAACAAGUGCUAGUUGAAUAAGCUGGCACCUUGACGGUACCUAACCAGAAAGCCACGGCUAACUACGUGCCAGCAGCCGCCGUAA